Molecule: non-coding RNA, 24 nt
Filed under: Arabidopsis thaliana (thale cress)
Lineage: Eukaryota; Viridiplantae; Streptophyta; Magnoliopsida; Brassicales; Brassicaceae
Source: RNAcentral
AUACCGUUUCUGACCUCUAAAUGC